AUUGAACGCUGGCGGAAUGCUUUACACAUGCAAGUCGAGCGGCAGCACGGGGGCAACCCUGGUGGCGAGCGGCGAACGGGUGAGUAAUACCUCUGAACAUGCCCAGUCGUGGGGGAUAACACUUCGAUAGAAGUUCUAAUCCUGCAUACGUCCUGAGGGGGCAAUCGGGGGAUCGCAAGACCUCUCGCGAUUGGAGUGGCCGAUGUCAGAUUAGCUAGUUGGUGGGGUAAAGGCCUACCAAGGCAACGAUCUGUAGCUGGUCUGAGAGGAUGAUCAGCCACACGGGGACUGAGAAACGGCAGAGACUCCUACGGGAGGCAGCAGUGGGGAAUUUUGGACAAGGGGGGCAAGCCGGAUCCAGCCAUUCCGCGGGAGUGAAGAAGGCCUUCGGGUUGGAAAGCGAUGUCGGCAGGAACGAAACGGUGAGCUCUAACAUAGCUUGCUAAUGACGGUACCGGAAGAAGAAGCACCGGCUAACUACGUG
Molecule: ribosomal RNA, 484 nt
Filed under: uncultured bacterium
Lineage: Bacteria
Description: partial 16S ribosomal RNA
Rfam family: Bacterial small subunit ribosomal RNA
Source: RNAcentral